Molecule: ribosomal RNA, 114 nt
Filed under: Myxococcales bacterium
Lineage: Bacteria; Pseudomonadati; Myxococcota; Myxococcia; Myxococcales
Description: partial 16S ribosomal RNA
Rfam family: Bacterial small subunit ribosomal RNA
Source: RNAcentral
AGAAGUGGCCACGCUAACCCGCAAGGGAGGCAGGUCCCCAAGGAGUGUUUGGUAACUGGGGUGAAGUCGUAACAAGGUAGCCGUAGGGGAACCUGCGGCUGGAUCACCUCCUUU